This 87-nucleotide transfer RNA is filed under the name bacterium. Its description in RNAcentral is "tRNA-Leu". It matches the Rfam family "tRNA". Rfam says of the family: Transfer RNA (tRNA) molecules are approximately 80 nucleotides in length. Their secondary structure includes four short double-helical elements and three loops (D, anti-codon, and T loops). Further hydrogen bonds mediate the characteristic L-shaped molecular structure. tRNAs have two regions of fundamental functional importance: the anti-codon, which is responsible for specific mRNA codon recognition, and the 3' end, to which the tRNAs corresponding amino acid is attached (by aminoacyl-tRNA synthetases). tRNAs cope with the degeneracy of the genetic code in two manners: having more than one tRNA (with a specific anti-codon) for a particular amino acid; and 'wobble' base-pairing, i.e. permitting non-standard base-pairing at the 3rd anti-codon position. The record is from RNAcentral.
GCCUGAGUGGCGGAAUAGGUAGACGCGAUGGAUUUAAAAUCCAUUGUCAGCAAUGACGUGCCGGUUCAAGUCCGGCCUUGGGUACCA